Rhincodon typus (whale shark) is the source of this 305-nucleotide long non-coding RNA. RefSeq lists it as uncharacterized. The transcript has 4 exons. The record is from RefSeq and is a predicted model, not a curated record. NCBI's taxonomy places the organism in Eukaryota, Metazoa, Chordata, Chondrichthyes, Orectolobiformes, Rhincodontidae.
UGCAGGUACAAAGGAAAUUCCUCCAGCUCUGAAACGGGACAUGAAUGAUUUCUUUGUUGGUCUGAUGGGAAGACGGAACAUGGAGUUUGAUACAUCAGCUACUCUAAAUAAAGGUGCUCCUGAGAAAAAAGGAUUCACUGUUCCUAUCAAGUGCAAACUGAGGGCCUGCAGGUCCAUUUAACCUUCGAAGGAAUCCGGACCAUUCCCAGAAAGCGAUGGCUGCAUCUACCAAAGUGCGCACCUUUCCAAAUCAGCUCCUAACUCUGUUCUGUACAACUGAGAAUUAAAUUGACAGUAGAUUUGCA